AGCGAACGCUGGCGGCAGGCUUAACACAUGCAAGUCGAGCGGGCAUCUUCGGAUGUCAGCGGCAGACGGGUGAGUAACACGUGGGAACGUACCCUUCGGUUCGGUACAACUCUGGGAAACUGGAGCUAAUACCGGAUACGCCCUUAUGGGGAAAGGUUUACUGCCGAAGGAUCGGCCCGCGUCUGAUUAGCUAGUUGGUGGGGUAACGGCCUACCAAGGCGACGAUCAGUAGCUGGUCUGAGAGGAUGAUCAGCCACACUGGGACUGAGACACGGCCCAGACUCCUACGGGAGGCAGCAGUGGGGAAUAUUGGACAAUGGGCGCAAGCCUGAUCCAGCCAUGCCGCGUGAGUGAUGAAGGCCUUAGGGUUGUAAAGCUCUUUUGUCCGGGACGAUAAUGACGGUACCGGAAGAAUAAGCCCCGGCUAACUUCGUG
RNAcentral lists this ribosomal RNA (435 nucleotides) under uncultured bacterium. RNAcentral describes it as "partial 16S ribosomal RNA". It matches the Rfam family "Bacterial small subunit ribosomal RNA", at positions 29 to 507 of the family's 1533-position model. The record is from RNAcentral.